This is a long non-coding RNA of Homo sapiens (human), 1020 nucleotides long. The record is from Ensembl. NCBI's taxonomy places the organism in Eukaryota, Metazoa, Chordata, Mammalia, Primates, Hominidae.
GUUUACCUUAGCAAGCCUGGGCAAUGGCGGGCGCCCCUCCCCCAGCCUCGCUGCCGCCUUGCAGUUUGAUCUCAGACUGCUGUGCUAGCAAUCAGCAAGACUCCGUGGGCGUAGGACCCUCCAAGCCAGGUGCGAUAUAAUGUCGUGGUGCGCCGUUUUUUAAGCUGGUUGGAAAAGCGCAGUAUUCGCGUGGGAGUGACCCGAUUUUCCAGGUGCGUCCGUCACCCCUUUCUUUGACUAGGAAAGGGAACUCCCUGACCCCUUGCACUUCCCAAGUGAGGCAAUGCCUCGCCCUGCUUCGGCUCGCGCACGGUGCGCGCACCCACUGACCUGUGCCCACUGUCUGGCACUUCCUAGUGAGAUGAACCCGGUACCUCAGAUUGAAAUGCAGAAAUCACCCGUCUUCUGCGUCGCUCACGCUGGGAGCUGUAGACCGGAGCUGUUCCUAUUCGGCCAUCUUGGCUCCUCCCUCAGUUCUGGAGACUGGGACAUCCAAGGUCAAUGUGCUGGCAGAUUCAAUGUCUGACUCUUCAGCCUCUGAUAGAUGAAAUUUUACAGUUUGGACAAGAGAGGAUUUGACAGACAGCCCAGUAAAACAGGACUAUCGGAGCCAAGACUGAGGAAUAUAAUAGCAUUGUGUGUUUGGGCAGACAAAACUUUCUCUUAUAUGCAGUCCUGUCCAGUUCCCCUGCUUCAUCUCAAGCUUUGUAUUAAGAAACAUGAAGAGCUUAUGUGCAUACUUUCUCAUCUCUGUAUCUUUGCAUGUGCUAUCACAUCCAUUUGGAACCCCUCCCAAAACUUCCAAAAUGGGAAAAAGCUUCCUGUUUCCUUUAAAAUUCAACUCAAUGACCACCCCAACUUUAAGUCUAUCUUCCUUUUCUCCUCUGUCCUUUUAUAGUCCCCUAGUAUAGCAUGUUAUUUAAUUUUACAUGUUUUUAACUUAUCUUUUUAUUUGUCAGUAGUGUCUCACACAACUACUAGUACAUGGCAAAUAAUUAAAAUUCUAUUGAAUUAAUUAAA